This 271-nucleotide ribosomal RNA is filed under the name uncultured bacterium. RNAcentral describes it as "partial 16S ribosomal RNA". It matches the Rfam family "Bacterial small subunit ribosomal RNA", at positions 524 to 794 of the family's 1533-position model. The record is from RNAcentral.
UACGAAGGGUGCAAGCGUUAAUCGGAAUUACUGGGCGUAAAGCGCGCGUAGGUGGUUCAGCAAGUUGGAUGUGAAAGCCCUGGGCUCAACCUGGGAACUGCAUCCAAAACUACUGAGCUAGAGUACGGUAGAGGGUAGUGGAAUUUCCUGUGUAGCGGUGAAAUGCGUAGAUAUCGGAAGGAACAUCAGUGGCGAAGGCGACCGCCUGGCCUAAGACUGACACUGAGGCACGAAAGCGUGGGGAGCAAACAGGAUUAGAAACCCUGGUAGU